Rhinopithecus bieti (black snub-nosed monkey) is the source of this 3900-nucleotide long non-coding RNA. NCBI's taxonomy places the organism in Eukaryota, Metazoa, Chordata, Mammalia, Primates, Cercopithecidae. The record is from Ensembl.
AAGGCAUAAAACUGUAGUGCCUAUGGGCGGGGCGUGGUGGCUCAUGCCUAUAAUCCCAGCACUUUGGGAGGCCGAGGCGGGUGGAUCACUUGAGGUCAGGAGUUCAAAACCAGUCCAGCAAACAUGGUGAAUCCCCAUCUCUACUAAAAAUACAAAAAUUAGCCUGGCAUGGUGGUGUGUGCCUGUAGUCCCAGCUACUUGAGAGGCUGAGGCAGAAGAGCCAGAGAGGUGGAGACUGCAGUGAGCGGAGAUCACACCACUGCACCCCAGCCUGGGCAACAGAGUGAGACUCUGUUAAACAAACAAACAAAAACUAUCAUGUCUAUGAAGUCACAGACAAGGUCCUGUAUUUCCACAGUGUCUGGCUACCACACGCGCUCUAUUAGGGUUUGCUGUGUGUCGAAGUAAGUGCAAAAAUGAAUCAAUGAAGCAAAGUUUAAGUCAUUUUUGGGAAGAGCAGGUCAUUCAGCUGCACUGGAGAUGAGGUCCUUUUGGAAAAGGCCCUGCACUUCUGAGGCUUGAUCUGUGAUGCUGGGAGAGAUGGGACGCUGCCAGAAGGGGCUACUGGCAGGCUGCCAAGAGGCUGCCCACAGAGGCCUUUGCCCUGACAAAUUCACCCCUGGGGCCCUGAGUCUGCCCUCAGCCUGGCAGCUGGUAGAGAGGAGAUCCAGGUCCCAGCUGUGGACUCAGACGAAUCAAUUGCUCGAGAGGCCAAUAUAUACACCAGAUGAGUUGGCUGACUCAUUGGCACUUCCUACAAUCCAGUUCCUUCAUCCCCCCGCCGCCCCUGCCACAAGCUUCCUGUUGGAGUCUGGAGGACCUCAAAGAUUUCCAAAGAGGCCAGCCCUUGGGAGGCCGAGGACUUCACAGCCCGAGGGGAGAGCAAGUCGUCCAGCCGCUGAGACCCACUCAGACCACGAACAGGGCAGGUGCUCAGAGGGCUCGCCCUCUCGUCCACCCCAAACUGGCUGUUGGACAUUCUAGUGUUGACCCAGAGAAAGAAGCUGAGGCAAAAUCAAUAUAUAGGGUUAAUUUGGGCCAAGAGUGAGGACAGCCAUUGGGGACACACUUCAAGUUGCCUUGGGGUAUGCUCUGUGUUCGGCUUUUGUUACAAGCAGGCCUUUAAAGGCAAAAGGGGACAAGGAGUGGGUGAUUCAACAAUGUUCUUAUUAGUUUGCAGCAAUAACAUUGGCUUGUGAUUGGCUAGGCAUUAUUGAGCUAUGGGGUAUGAGUUACGGUGUCUGGAAUAUGGCGUUUUAUGGCUACAUGGUAUCAGUCUAGAGCCCACAUAGCAAGUGGCUUCAAGAGGUAAUUAUUUAGCUUGGUGGUCGGGGGUGGGGUGAGAUGUGACUGACUGCUGUCAUUUGCUGUUGCAUUUCUUUUUUAAGACAGAGUCUCACUCUGUUGCCCAGGCUGGAGUGCAGUGGUGCAAUCUUGGCUCAAGCGAUUCUUCUGCCUCAGCCUCCUGAGUAGUUGGGAUUACAGGUGUGUGCACCACUACACCCAGCUAAUUUUUUUUUUGAGACUGAGUCUUGCUCUGUCACCCAAACUGGAGUGCAGUGGUACGAUCUCGGCUCACUGCAACCUCUGCCUCGUGGGUUCAAGUGAUUCUCCUGCCUCAGCCUCCUGAGUAGCUGGGAUUACACAUGCACACCACCAUGCAUGGCUAAUUUUUUGUAUUUUUACUAGAGAUGGGGUUUCGCCAUGUUGGUCAGGCUGGUCUUGAACUCCUGACCUUGUGAUCUGCCCACCUGGGCCUCCCAAAAUGCUGGGAUUACAGGUGUGAGCCACUGCACCCAACCCGCUGUCACAUUUCAAUGCCUCUCUGGGCCUGAUAACGAAAGGGGGACUUGCAUUCUUCUUUUUUUUUUUCAGAUGGAGUCUCAUUCUGUCACCCAGGCUGGAGUGCAAUAGUGUGAUCUCGGCUCACUGCAACCUCUGCCUCCUGGGUUCAAGCCAUUCUUCUGCCUCAGCCUCCCGAGUAGCUGGAAUUACAGGCACCUGCCACCAUGCCCAGCUAAUUUUGUGUAUUUUUAGUAGAGACGGGGUUUCACUAUGUUGGCCAGGCUGGUCUCAAACUCCUGACCUUGUGAUCCACCCGCCUCGGCCUCCCAAAGUGCUGGGAUUACAGGCGUGAACCAUCGUGCCCAGCCUGGGACUUGCAUUCUUCAGAUAAAGUUUUUUAUUGUUGUUGUUUUGUUUUUGAGAUGGGAUCUCACUCUGCUGCCCAAGCUGGAGUGCAGUGGCACGAUCUCGACUCACUGCAGUCUCAAACUCCUGGGCUCAAGUGAUCCUCCUACCUCAGUCUUCUGAGUAGCUAGGACUACUGGUGUGCACUAUGCCAGUUAAUUUUUUAUUUAUUGUAGAGAUGGGGUCUUGUUAUGUUGUCUAAGCUGGUCUCAAACCCCUAGGCUCAAGUGAUUCUCCUGCCUCAGCCUCCCAAGGUUUUGGGACUACAGGCGUGAGUCACCACACCUAGCCAACACAACACUUCUCAUGCCAAAUGUUUGGGCUUUUCUUUUUUCUCCAUAUGCCAAGUAAUUCUGCAGCAGACACCAGUUGGGAUUCCUAUAAUUCAAUUAAAUUCUGACAUGGUCUACCUGGAGAUACAGGGGGUGAGCUCUGGAAAGGUCCUGAGCACAGGAGUGUUGGGAAUAGGCCCCCCAAAAUCUGGCUGUAAACUGGCCCCAAAACGGGCCAUAAAUAAAAUCUGCAGCACUGUGACAUGUUCAUGAUGGCCAUGACGCCCACUCUGGAAGGUUGUGGGUUUACCGGAAUGAGGGCGAGGAACACCUGGCCCACCCAGGGCAGAAAACGGCUUAAAGGCGUUCCUAAACCACAAACAACAGCAUGAGCAAUCUGUGCCUUAAGGACAUGCUCCUGCUGCCCUAGCCAGAGCCCAUCCCUUUGUUUCAGCCCAUCUCUUUGUUUCCCAUAAGGAAUACUUUUAAUCUAUAAUCUAUAGAAAUAAUGCUUAUCACUGGCUUGCUGUCAAUAAAUACGUGGGCAAAUCUCUGUUCGGGGCUCUCAGCUCUGAAGGCUGUGAGACCCCUGAUUUUCUGUUUGUGUGUGUGUCUUUAAUUCCUCUAAGGCCACUGGGUUAGGGUCUCCCCGGCUGAGCUGGUCUCAGCACAGGAGUUUCCAUCUCUGUGGAGUUGGGGUGCACCACCCUCCCAGCGCAUGGAAGUCUUCUUGUUCACCCACCUGGAAGCUCUCUGAACACUGUCCUUUUGGGUUUUGUGGGUGAUUCCUAGUCAUGAUUGAUUACAUCAUUGGCCAAACCAAAUAUGUUUAUCUUUUUUUUUUUUUUUUUUGAGACAGGGUCUGGCCCUGUUACUCAAGCUGGAGUAUAGUAGUGCGAUCUCUGCUCACUGCAAUCUCUACCUCCCAGGGUCAAGUGAUUCUGUAUUGUUAGUAGAGGCGUGUUUUUGCCAUGUUGCCCAGGCUGGUCUAGAACUCCUGAGCUCAGGCAAUCCACCUGCCUCAGCCUCCCAAAGUGCUAGGAUUAUAGGCGUGAGCCACCGUGCCCAGCCAUCCUGUUUUAUUUUCUUCUUGCAUGUAUCCUUUUCUGAAGCUUGAGCUCCAGGGCCCCUUCACUUGCACAGGCCCCUUCCGAGGGUCCGUACCUAAUUCUGUAUGACUUUCUUAAAAAGGACUCCCUUGUCCUGCCAAUCCUACCAAAAGCUUCAGACUCCAUAAAAUCUAAAUCUAUGUGUACCUAGAGCAGAGGACCAGGCUGCAAUUAGUACAUCCUGUGCCUGCCUCUGGCAGAAAGACAAACUCAGCAUUUCUCCUGCCAGGCCACUUCUACAGGCCGUUGCUCUCCCCACCUCUUCAGGCCUGAGUGCCGAGAGGCACCCUGGCCCAAGAGUCUUUGUGACUGCCCUGCUAACAGUGCCC